Molecule: non-coding RNA, 29 nt
Filed under: Mus musculus (house mouse)
Lineage: Eukaryota; Metazoa; Chordata; Mammalia; Rodentia; Muridae
Source: RNAcentral
UACACUGGAACAGGCAUGAUGGCUUUCUG